This 29-nucleotide ribosomal RNA is filed under the name Fejervarya limnocharis (Boie's wart frog). RNAcentral's name for it is "partial 12S ribosomal RNA". The record is from RNAcentral. Lineage: Eukaryota; Metazoa; Chordata; Amphibia; Anura; Dicroglossidae.
CAAAGAUUUGGUCCUGGUCUUAUUGUCAG